AGAAUCGUUUUUGAGCAAAUCUUCGACAGCAAGAAGGGCUGAUUACGAAAAGGAGUCCGGGAUUUACUUGACAACUGAAGAUCUAGAGAAUGAAUUUAAAGCGAUGGAGCUCAAUGAAGAUGGACAAAAGCUUUUUAGAUUUGCGAUGCGUACCGUAGCUGAAGAAAAUAUGAGGAGUAGAAUAUUUGAUGUUGAACUUAUUGUUUAUCUUGCUCACAAUAGUAAAGUUACUAUUAGUAAAGGAGAUCCAAAACAAAAACUGAUCAUACUCCUUGAUGAGAAAAACGAACCCAUCUUUAGAUGGGAAAUUAAAACCAGCUCUACAAGCUCUUUAAGCUACCGCUAAUACAUCAGCACUGUUAUCAGAACUCAUGUAGUCUAAUUAAACAUACCAAAAUGUAUCAAAAGACAGGAUUAAGUUGAAAAUUGUAGUUGUUAUAUAAUUCAGCUCCGAGUACGAUUCCAGAUAAACAGCCUAUAUGUAUAUUGAAUGUAAUGAAAUAAAGAGUUCUGUUACCGUCCAUUAAGGAACUAGUCACAAACCUCUACACCUGACUGGUAUCUGCCUGCUUGCUUCAGAACACAUACUUGAAAUGACCACUGUCUUAAGAUGUUUGAGCGGUCCCUCAACUCGAAAAUCCAUUUUCCUUGCUAUUACAAUAUGAAAGACAUGAUACUUCACUUAUUUGACGUACCUAGGUGGUUACUGGCAUGAACAAAUCUACUCAUUACAUCCUUAUAGUGCUAUCAAUAAUCACUUCAAACACCAAUGUCGAUCACUUAAUAGCCUGAACGUAAUGUCUUGAUAUUGACAUAGAACGUUGCGUUUCUAUAAACGGCUUUAGUGCAAGAACCGAUUUUUGGCAAGUGUUUGGAACGUCAAUCUCAGUAUGCAGUUAGUUACAUGUAUGUAAUAUGUUUUGAAGUACGCAGACAUAAAGUUACCAUAUUUGAUAAACUACUUCAUAUAUAAGGAGUGUUUUAAAUGAAAUACCUUAUAAGCUACGAUACCGUUAUUAACCAGUUUAUUUAAUCUGUAAUCUAACGAAUGCACAUUUUUAGCUCGACUUUUCAUAGAAUAGUAGAGCUAUUGGACUCGCCUAUGCGUCGGCGUCCGCGUCGGCGUCCGCGUCCCGAUUUGGUUAAGUUUUUGUAUGUAAGCUGGUAUCUCAGCAACCACUUGUGGGAAUGCAAUUGAAACUUCACAUACUUAUUCACUGUGAUAAACUAACUUACACUGCACAGGUUCCAUAACUCUAUUUUGCUUUUUUACAAAAUUAUGCCCCUUUUUUUGACUUAGAAAUAUUUGGUUAAGGUUUUGUAUGUAAGCUGGUAUCUCAGUACUCACAAAUGGGAAUGGAUUGAAACUUCACACACUUAUUUACUGUGAUAAACUGACUUACACUGCACAGGUUCCAUAACUCUAUUUUGCUUUUUUCAAAAUUAUGCCCCAUUUUUGACUUAGAAAUAUUUGGUUAAGGUUUUAUAUGUAAGCUGGUAUCUCAGUACUCACUAAUGGGAAUGGAUUGAAACUUCACACACUAGUUCACUGUCAUGAUCUGACAUGCACAAAACAGGUCCCAUAACUCUAUUUUGCUUUUUUACAAAAUUAUGCCCCUUUUUCAACAUAGAAAUUUUUGGUUAAGUUUUUGUAUGUAAGCUGGUAUCUCAGUAUCCACUAAUGGGAAAGGAUUGAAACUUCACACACUUGUUCACUGUCAUGUUAUGACAUGCAGUGCAAGGGGUCAAUAACUCAACUUCGCAUUUUACAAAAUUCUGCCCCUUUUUCAACUAAGGAGUUUUUGGUUAAAUUCUUAAUAUGUAAGCAAGUAUCUCAGUACCCGCUAAUGGGAAUGGAUUGAAACUUCACACACUUGUCCACUGUCAUGAGCUGAUAAGCAUAUGCAGGUUGCAUAACCCUAUUUUGCUUUUUUACUAAAUUAUGCCCCUUUUUCGACUUUCGUAUUCAUUCAAUCGACAAGGCUGUUGAAUAGUCGAGCGUUGCUGUCCUACGACAGCUCUUGUUUAUUUGGGAAAUAGACUUUAGUUCUGCAUGCUUUGUUGGCAAAUAAAACACGGUUUUGAGUUCAGAUGCGUAGUAACCUAAUCACGAAGGCCGAAGGCCUGAGUGAUUAAUUACGACGAUCUGAACAAAAACAAAAACGUGUUUCAUUCGCCACCAAAGCACGCAAAACUAAAAUCUAUGUCCAUUCUAACACGUUUGAAUUACACCAGGUCUGGAAUAAAAUGCGGUUUUAAAUACGAGGGAGUAAACCGGAAUAGAUAAAAGUUGGUCAUUUUGCGAAACGUGUUCUAAUCAACAACACAAUACACGGUAAAAUCCUUCUAUGUUUAUAUAAAGAAAAACUUAUAAAUGUUAGAACUAAAUUUGGAUAUUGACAAAAUGUUUGCAUUUAUUUUUCGUACAAACUGUCUGGUACACUGCUUUCGGAGUGAGUAUGGUUAUAAAGAAAUCUGAACUGGUCAACCAAUCAAACGACUUGACCGGACAAUAUGAUUACUUGCUAAGCAUGACUAUAUUCUCGCGUAACUUUGAACGUACAGAAAGCUCUAACAUUUUCGUUAUUUGUCUCAGUGAAUAUCAUUUUUGUACCUUUUCACUUCGUAUUUACUACAUAAUGGAGUACGCAAUAUCAUAAGUAACUAUUUUUGAUUUGUUAGAUAAACAAACAAAUGUCACUGUUUCGCACGUAAGGUUCCCUGAUGUAUACAACAGUCUAAAGUUAAAUGUAGACUGUAUAUAGUUUUAGCUCGGUGAUAAGAAACAAAAAGUACAGAAAGUGCCUGUUUCAAAAGUUCCUUUACUGGAUGCAUUUUACUUUUAAUUAGCCUACUACAGAUGUAUGUGGUCUGUAGUCAAAACCGUAUAUAAUUUCUGUAUAAUCUUAUUUAAAACAAAACAUAACAAAAUUGCUUGCACACCAUCUCUUUCAAAACACAGUUAUAAAUAAUCCAUUGCCAGCAUGUAAUUAAGAAGUAAGAAAGAAUAGUUGUUAUUACACAAUAAAAUCGUCAGAAAA
Mercenaria mercenaria is the source of this 3041-nucleotide long non-coding RNA. RefSeq lists it as uncharacterized. The transcript is spliced from 2 exons. The record is from RefSeq and is a predicted model, not a curated record. NCBI's taxonomy places the organism in Eukaryota, Metazoa, Mollusca, Bivalvia, Venerida, Veneridae.